GCAGUCGAGCGGUAGCACAGGAGAGCUUGCUCUCUGGGUGACGAGCGGCGGACGGGUGAGUAAUGUCUGGGAAACUGCCUGAUGGAGGGGGAUAACUACUGGAAACGGUAGCUAAUACCGCAUAACGUCUUCGGACCAAAGUGGGGGACCUUCGGGCCUCACGCCAUCAGAUGUGCCCAGAUGGGAUUAGCUAGUAGGUGGGGUAAUGGCUCACCUAGGCGACGAUCCCUAGCUGGUCUGAGAGGAUGACCAGCCACACUGGAACUGAGACACGGUCCAGACUCCUACGGGAGGCAGCAGUGGGGAAUAUUGCACAAUGGGCGCAAGCCUGAUGCAGCCAUGCCGCGUGUGUGAAGAAGGCCUUCGGGUUGUAAAGCACUUUCAGCGAGGAGGAAGGGUGGUGUGUUAAUAGCGCAUCACAUUGACGUUACUCGCAGAAGAAGCACCGGCUAACUCCGUGCCAGCAGCCGCGGUAAUACGGAGGGUGCAAGCGUUAAUCGGAAUUACUGGGCGUAAAGCGCACGCAGGCGGUUUGUUAAGUCAGAUGUGAAAUCCCCGCGCUUAACGUGGGAACUGCAUUUGAAACUGGCAAGCUAGAGUCUUGUAGAGGGGGGUAGAAUUCCAGGUGUAGCGGUGAAAUGCGUAGAGAUCUGGAGGAAUACCGGUGGCGAA
Molecule: ribosomal RNA, 672 nt
Filed under: uncultured bacterium
Lineage: Bacteria
Description: bacterial SSU rRNA
Rfam family: Bacterial small subunit ribosomal RNA
Source: RNAcentral